Homo sapiens (human) is the source of this 7427-nucleotide long non-coding RNA. RefSeq lists it as uncharacterized. The transcript is spliced from 2 exons. The record is from RefSeq and is a predicted model, not a curated record. NCBI's taxonomy places the organism in Eukaryota, Metazoa, Chordata, Mammalia, Primates, Hominidae.
GUGCUGGGAUUACAGGCUUGAGCCACCGCGCCCAGCCUGUAAUUAACUUUUUAAAUAUAAAAAGUCACAAAUCUACACUCAUAUUUUCCGUGUAAGAUUAUGGAAUUUUUACUUGAAGUCUUUGAUUUUAUACUUGCGUCUCUUUACGUCUGUGCAGAAAACCUUGGUUCCUAAGAUGAUAAUUGCUUUAUCAUAUAACCUACCUACAAUAGUUUCAGGUUUUUUUUUUUUUUUUUUUUUGAGAUGGAGUUUUGCUUUUUUUACUCAGGCUAGAGUGAAAUGGCGUGAUCUCGUCUCACUGUAACCUCUGCCCCCCAGGUUCCAGUGAUUCUCCUGCCUCAGCCUCCCUAGUAGCUGAGAUUACAAGUGCCUGCCACCACGCCCGGCUAAUUUUUGUAUUUUUAGUAGAGACGGGGUUUCGCCAUGUUGGCGGGGCUGGUCUUGAACUCCUGACCUCAGGUGAUCUGCCUGCCUCAGCCUCCCAAAGGGCUGGGAUUACAGGCGUGGGCCACUGUGCCCGGCUAGUUUCAGAACUUAAAUACCAACUUUACUACUAUACAAUAAGACUUCUAAAUGCAGCUUAAAUUUUGUUUAUAUUUUCUUAUAGAAUGUAUCUCAUAAGAAAUGUACAGUCAAAAUAUUGUUUUUUUUUUUAAAGUCACUUGUAGUCACUAUUUUCACCUAUUCUGUUACCAACUUGACAUACAACCAGAUUUCAGUGUUUUCUUUUUUUCAAUUUUGGGGAGGAUUGCUUCUUUUUCCCUUGUUUAGUUUAAUUUUGUGUUUUAGUUAUGCAAAAAAUUACUAAUUUUUUAGUAAUUUUUAUGUACAUUUUAAGAUAACAGGACAUUCUGUUUCUUCUUCUGUUAUCUUCCUUUGUGGAUAGAUGACCAUUUUCUUUUUAUUUUUGGGGUUAUUUUGAAAAUAUUAGAUAUGUAUAUAUUCACCCUUAUGCAAAAGUUAGCAUAUUCUAGAUAUUGUUCUAUACUUUGCUUUUAUUCAAUUAAAAUUCUUUCUCAGAAAUCACUUCAUUAUUCUAUAGAGAUAUUUCUCAUUCCUUUUUAUGGCUGUGCACACAUGCACACCAACUUUCCUAGACAGGUAUUUGAUUAAUUCUGCACACCCCCAUGACCUGGACUAAUAUUCAUGUAUAUUUCAAAUAUAAGGUUUUUAUUCUUGUGUAGAAUAAAUUGUAUAGACAAUUACAUUCUACGUAAUUAAUGCUCAUUUGAAUUUUACCCAUUCUUUUGCUAUUACAAAUAAUAUUGUAUUGAAUAUUCUUGUAUAUGUGUAAUGUCAUUUUAUAUUGCUAGAGGUGAGAUUGAUAUAUCAAAGGGUUAAUGAGGGCUGGGCAUGAUGGCUUAUACCUGUAAUCCCAGCACUUUGGGAGGCCAAGGCAGGAAGAUUGCUUGAGGCCAGUUCUGGAGGGAUGGAGAAAGGGAAGGAGAGGGCAACGUUACUAGUUGUUGCCAAAUUCUCCUCAAUGCUGUGUACCAUUUGACUUUCUUACCAACAAUGGAAUGAGAAUACCCAUUUUUCCUCAGUCUUACCAAAGAGUGUGUUGAAGGGUCAUUUUUAAAUUAUUGACUUUAGGUUUUUCCUGCCACCCAGGCAUUGUAAAUCAGGGUUGUAUGUUUGGGGCCUGUCUUAUGCAUAUUGGAGACGGGGUGGAGUUAGGGAGGAAGUAUGUGUUUGACUGCUCAACACCAAGGUUCUAAACUGAAUUGGGGAAAUGGGUGACAGCAGAUGAGACUGUAAAUUCACAUUUGCUCUGUAGAUAUAUUUGUUUGUCCCAGCUCUGUUAUUUAGGGCAGUUUCUUCUUAGAGUUCUCACUUUGGUUGAACUUUGGGCUUUGUCUCCUAUUUCCUCCAUGUUCGUUGACUACAUGGAGAAUUACAAGAAGCCAAACUAUCAAUGACACAUAAUAACCUAAUGUUAUGCACAAUUAUGAAGUAUUGUUCUUUGUCCCUGAUAAUGUUUUUAAUAAUUGUAAUAGAUAUUCGUUGAGAGUGGAAUAUCCAGUUACCAUUAAUGAAUUUUUUUCACCCACCAUGGGGGAUUGGGAAUAUUGUUUUAGAAACUGUUUUUGUGGGUCUGGAAUAAGACCCACACGUGCCUUGGGAAAGAUUUUUAGAGAUUCACUUUUUCCUUUGAUAGACUUGCUUAUUGGGCGGUUUUCUGCAGUCUGAGGAAUAGGGCCAAUUUGACUGUCAGUCUUUUGUUGAUUAAGUGAGAGUGCCAUCCAGUGGGAGAAAAAGCUAAUACAAGUUUUUUAAACUUUAGAAUAUGCAGAGGAAAUUAUUUCUUGUGCUAAGUUAUGUUCUCCAGAAGUCCACAAUACUAAAAAGUUGGGAACUGUAUGUUGGAAGGUGAGAGAAGUGGAAGAAAGUAGUCUUGCAGAACAGUAGCACGCAUAUAAUAGGGACCUAAUAAGUAGCCGUUAUUACCAUGAUUCUUCUUCUUGCGUGGAAGUUGGUGAUCAAGUUAAAUAAUAGGUAAAUUAGGAGCUUCUCUGACAGAUAUUUGUGAUUAAUACAUGUAAAAUUCUAUUGUCAUUUUUUGACUAUGUGAUAUACAGAUAUUAUAAAUUUUAUCCUUUUUUGUCUUUAACCCUAUUACUCAGGACCCACCCCUGGUCCCCAAAAAAAUGUUACCAGUUUCUAGUAUAUCUGUCUUAAAAUAUUACACUCUAUUAUAAACAUGUAUGUAUAUUUCUUGGCAUACUCAUUCAUUUAACAAAUAGUGUGGCUACUAUGUACCUGGCACUCUUCUAGGCGGGAUAAAGCAGUGAACCUCAUGUUCAGUGUAAGGUAUGCAUAUUCUACAUAUUGUUCUGUACCUUGCUUUUUUCGUCAAUAAGUUUCCCUCUAAUGACUGUUAUAGCUGCAUCCCACAAAUUUAUUCAAUUCAAAAUACACCCUUGUGAUUUCUGCUUUGGUCCAUGGAUUAUUUAGAAGCAUGUUUAAUUUCUAAGUGUUAAGAAAUUUUAAAAAUGUCUUUCUGUUAUUAAUUUCUAAUUUAAUUUGGUUGUGAUAAGAGAACAUGCUCUAUAUGCUAUCAUUCCUUUAAAUUUGUUCAGACUUGCUUUAUGGCCCAGCAUGUGGUCUCUCUCAUUGAAUGUUCCACAUUGAUUUAGAAUGAAGUACCUACUCUGUUAUUGUUGGAGUGUUACGUAAUUACCAUUUGAGUCAAGUUGUUCAGGUCUUUUAAAUCCUUAUUUAUUUUGUCUAUUAAUUCUGUUAAUUACUGAAAGAAGAAGAAUGAAAUUUCUACCUAUAGUUCAGGGUUGUCUCUUUCUCUUUUCAGUUCUGUCAGGUUUUGCUUCAGGUAUUUUUAUAUGGUUAUUAGGUGCAUACACAUUAGGUUAUUAUGUGUCAUUGAUAGUUUGGCUUCUUUAUCAUUAUGAAGUAUUGUUCUUUGUCCCUGAUAAUGUUUUUAAUAAUUGUAAUUUUCUUAUGGUUAAUGUUUAAAUGUUAUGGGUUUUCCCACCCUUUUUCUUUAAAUAUAAAAACAUAGGUUAAAAGUGGAUUUCUUCUAUAUAGCACUUUCUUGACUUUUCCUUUUCUAAACCUCUCUUACAAUCUCUUCCUAUAAUCUUAAUUUUUUAAAAAAAAUCAGUUUCACUUUUUCUUUGCAAAAUGUAGUAUGAAAAACUAUUGUCUUUUUAGCUUGUGAUUAUUUGCCUUUUUGUUUUCUUUUUUAAAAUUUUAUGUGCAAAUAGUGUAUAACAAUGAUGUAAAAUUUGCAAGAUAUGAAAGAGUUUAUAUUGAAGAGUUAGUCUCCUUCCCUUCCUAUACCCCUACUAUUAUAUUCCAUACACAGAGGCAAUCAUUUUGUCUAAUUGUGUACUGUUCCACACAUGCUAUAACCAUUUAUAAGCAGAUAUGAAUGUGUUCUUUUUGCUUUCACCCACGUUAUUGUAUAUUAUAUAUGCUAGUUAUAUAAAUCUUUGUAUAACCUUUUUAGUUGUGAAAUGUACCAUACACAGAAAAUUGCAUAAACUUACAGGUACAGUAAUAACGAAUAGUUAUAUAAUGAACACCUGUGUGAUCAUCAGCCAGGUGAAAAUAUAGAAAGAAGACAUCCAAAUAUCAUUUCUCAGUUAGAACUCCGUACCCCAGAGGUAACCACUCUCCUGACCUUUAUGAUAAUCAUUUCCUUGCCUUUCUUUUUGCUGUUACCACUUAUACUUACAUCCCUAAACAGUGUAGUUUAUAUUUACCUGUUUUUGAAAUUUAUAUGAAUGGAGCAAAACAUACCUUUUUCUUUUUAAAAUGUGUUUUUGCUUUCUUCACUCAGUCAUGUUCAUAACAUUCAUUUAUAUUGCCUAUAAGGAUAAUUUAUUUUCUAUAGAUGUCGUUGUAUGAAUGUACCACAAGAAAACACAUCAUAGGAAAAGGUUUUUUAAAUUUUACUGUUGGUGGGCACUGGAUCAUUUCCAGUUUAUUACGCAAAUAAUAGUGCUGUAGUGUGCUUGUACGUGUGUGCUCUUACACUUCAGCACUCAUGUCUGGGUAUACAAUUAGGAGUAGAGUUGCUAGAGCACAGGGUGUGCUGCUCUUACAUGUUAAUUCCAAAGUACUGUACUUUUCCAAAGUACUGCAGUAAAAUUUUAUUUCAUACCUCCAUAGACUUCUCAACCCUGGGUAUUGUGUGACUGCUAAUCUCGUAGUCAUGUAGUAGUUUCCCAUUGUGUUUGAAUUACUAAUGAAGUAAUAUAUUUUUUGUCUUAUGAAGUAAUUGUAUAUAAUUAUUUUGCCCAUUUUUCUUUUGGGUUGCAUACUCUUUUUUUUUUUUAACAAUUAGUAUUCUUCAUUGGUGAUGGAAAAUAUACAAACGUGUAUAUGUGUGUGGCUGGCCAAUAUCUUUUCAGACUCUGUGACUUCAUUGUUUUUAUGAGCAGAGGUUCUGGGUUUUAACAUAGUCAAAUGUAUUGGUCUUUAUGGUCAGACUUUUUUCCCACAGGAACAUGAAAAUAUUCUCCAUAAGCUCUAUACCUUUCCCUUUUACAUUUAGGUCUUUACUCCACUCAUACAGUUGUGGGAAUACAAAUUGUCAUAGUCUUUCUGUGGGCAGUUUGAUGAUACAUAUCAAAAUUUUGAAUGUGCCUAUCCUUUAAUCCAAGAAUUCUACUUUAAGAAAUUUAUCUUGGCCAAAUACAUUAAACAUUGUACAAAGAUGUCUAUGUGUAUAUAUACAGAUGCCAACACAACAUUUUCCUACCCAUUCUAUGGCAAAUAAGUGCAAAGGGUAAAGGUAUCCCUGUUGAGUGAUAUCAUCAGCCGCCUGUAUUUUGCCAAGUGCCUAACAGUGUAAUAUAAUCUUUAUCAGUCACUGUGGAGCUGUAAGGAAAGUAUCUUACCCAAAAGGAUUUUAUAUAAUUACUUUGAAAACUCUCAUGUAAUUUCAUUAUCACAUUUAUGAUAAAUUAGGUGGUUAGCAUUAGCACAUUUUAAGAUGGAAGGGUCAAGUGAUAGACUGGGGAAUCAUUGAAAAAACUUUGCAGUAAAAGUGUUUAAUAUCUAAGGCUAUUAUAACAGUGAAAUAAAUAGAGAUUGCAUUGCAUUCUGUAAGACCUUAAGUUUGGUGCUUUUUUUUUAAGCAGAGAACACAGUAGAUUAGGAAAGAAUGCUUAUUUAUUUGCAUUUUGGAUACCUCUAGAACAGUGGUUUUCAAUGGGGUGGAAGAGGGGACAGUUUCACACUCCUGGGAUUAUUUGAGCUGUGGGCAAUCUCUGGAAACAUUUUAGAUUGUUAGAAUUUGGGACUGUGGGUUGGGUGGGGACAAUGGUGCCGGUGAGUAGAGCCCAGGAAUGCUGCUAAACAUCCUUCAAUGGACAGGAAAGCCCCUACAAAUUUAUCUGGCCCAAAAUGUCAUUAGUGUCAAUAUCGAGAAACCCUGCUUUAGAAUGAUUGUUUCUAUGCGUUGAUAAUAAGUUAGCCUCUAAUUUGGGUCAUAUUAUAAAGGUACUUGACCUGGUAUGGGGCAUAAAGGAUUUUCUUGGAGAGGUGACAUUAUGACAGUAUACUUUGUUACAUGAAUAUGUCAUAGAAGACAUCAUAAUCAACCUGCAUUUAACUAAUUCACCAAAUUUGUGAUGUUCUGCAUUCUUUUUACGUAACACUUUGCUAGGUUCCUGUGGCUCUCUCUAAACACGUAAAGCCACCUUCAGCUUGCUGCCACUGUUCUGCUUCUAUGUCACUGUUGGAAGAAGAAUGCCCAUGAGCAUCAUGGGAGAAAAUAUCAGGCGUAAUUCUCCUUCCAGAUGGCACCCCUACAGGUGAGGCAGCAGCCUGUGAAAUUACAGUCUGAAUUACACUGCAGAUGAGCGGGGCAUUUGGACCAGAGCCUUCUGAUAUCAGUAAUAAAUGACUUGGUUCAGAACCAAGGACAAUUCCCAGGAAUUUAAAGGCUGUUGUAUCACAUAGGGAGCCUAUCGUAAAAUGAAGUUUAGCAAAGUGGAAAGUUGAGAGAAAGGACAAUGACCAUUAGCAAUACGUAUGUGAAUCUUUUCAUCUGCUAAUAUUUUUAACUGGAUAUUUUAUCUCAUGAAUGUCUUAUUAGUUCUAUAUAUAUGCUAGUAUUUGCAUUGAUUUUUCCAAACUAAUAUUUUCACAAUGAAUAGUGGCUAAGGGCCAGUUGCCAACUGAGAUAUUACUCUGAAAUGAUUGCACACCUGUUGUAAAUUCUAAUCUUGUUUAAUAUGGUCUAUGGAAAAUUUUUCAUUUUUGCAAUGCUUGAAUCCUUAACAAAUGUAGUAUAAUACACAUACUAAAUCUUAUUUUCAAUUAGACAAAUCAAUUUAAGAGGCAACAUAAAAGGGUGAUUCAGAACUUGUAUAGUGAGAUCAAGGUUCGAAUUCUGUCUCAUUCACUCCCCAUUUAUGUGACCGAACUAUUAUUUUAGAUCGCAACUUACUUAACAUAAAUAAAUUAAAUUGGAAUAACAAUAAAUGGUGCUUUGGGGAAGAAUUAAAUGAAAUAAUUUUUAUAGAGGCAUCACAAUGAAUUUUAACGAUUAUCACCACCAUUAUUUGUCAGUUUUAAUUUUAGAAAACAAAAUAUCAUUUUAAAAUAACAUUUUAAUUUCUACCACAAAAAUAAAAAGCAGUUUCAUUUUAACAAAUAUAAUAUUACACAUAGUAUUAAUAACUUUUAUUUAUUCAUUUUAAAGUUACAUAUUGAGUUCCUACUAUGUACCAGACACAUUUUCAGCCUUCAGGAAUAUAGCUUCAAACAAUAUGACAAAGUCCUUGAUCUUGGAGCUGAUAUUUUAGUAAGGAGACAAAAUAAAAACAAAAAUAAAUAGUAUUUUCAUUCAUAAGUGCUAUGAUGAAAUACAAAGCAGGAUAAAGAAAUGGAGCUUGAUGAAAGAAAAAGAAAGGAUAUUUUAUGUAGGAACAUCAGAGAAAUUCUUUGUGAUAAGG